This 1000-nucleotide ribosomal RNA is filed under the name uncultured bacterium. RNAcentral describes it as "bacterial SSU rRNA". It matches the Rfam family "Bacterial small subunit ribosomal RNA", at positions 356 to 1376 of the family's 1533-position model. The record is from RNAcentral.
GGGGAAUAUUGCACAAUGGGCGCAAGCCUGAUGCAGCAACGCCGCGUGAAGGAAGACGGUUUUCGGAUUGUAAACUUCUGUUCUUAGUGAAGAAUAAUGACGGUAGCUAAGGAGCAAGCCACGGCUAACUACGUGCCAGCAGCCGCGGUAAUACGUAGGUGGCAAGCGUUGUCCGGAAUUACUGGGUGUAAAGGGAGCGCAGGCGGGUGAUCAAGUCAGCUGUGAAAACUACGGGCUUAACCCGUAGACUGCAGUUGAAACUGUUCAUCUUGAGUGAAGUAGAGGUUGGCGGAAUUCCGAGUGUAGCGGUGAAAUGCGUAGAUAUUCGGAGGAACACCGGUGGCGAAGGCGGCCAACUGGGCUUUAACUGACGCUGAGGCACGAAAGCGUGGGUAGCAAACAGGAUUAGAUACCCUGGUAGUCCACGCUGUAAACGAUGAUUACUAGGUGUGGGGGGUCUGACCCCUUCCGUGCCGGAGUUAACACAAUAAGUAAUCCACCUGGGGAGUACGGCCGCAAGGUUGAAACUCAAAGGAAUUGACGGGGGCCCGCACAAGCAGUGGAGUAUGUGGUUUAAUUCGAAGCAACGCGAAGAACCUUACCAGGUCUUGACAUCCAACUAACGAAGUAGAGAUACAUUAGGUGCCCUUCGGGGAAAGUUGAGACAGGUGGUGCAUGGUUGUCGUCAGCUCGUGUCGUGAGAUGUUGGGUUAAGUCCCGCAACGAGCGCAACCCUUGCUAUUAGUUGCUACGCAAGAGCACUCUAAUAGGACUGCCGUUGACAAAACGGAGGAAGGUGGGGACGACGUCAAAUCAUCAUGCCCCUUAUGACCUGGGCUACACACGUACUACAAUGGAUGUUAACAGAGGGAAGCAAGACAGCGAUGUGGAGCAAACCCCUAAAAACAUUCUCAGUUCAGAUUGCAGGCUGCAACCCGCCUGCAUGAAGAUGGAAUUGCUAGUAAUCGCGGAUCAGCAUGCCGCGGUGAAUACGUUCCCG